This 405-nucleotide small RNA is filed under the name Caenorhabditis elegans. RNAcentral's name for it is "Unclassified non-coding RNA Y48G1C.15". Lineage: Eukaryota; Metazoa; Nematoda; Chromadorea; Rhabditida; Rhabditidae. The record is from RNAcentral.
AAAGAAGCGUACUCAAGAGGUGACUCAUUACCAGUAUACCGGAUGGCCGGAGCAUAUGGGACCGAAAGAUGCCGAGGAGAUUAGGUAUUUGUUGAAACUAGUGACAGACAGCGAGAGACCGGUUUUUGUCGUAUGCAAUACUGGUGGUGGACGAUCGGCAGCGUUUGUUCGUGAGUUUUUAGCUUUUUCUCAGGAAAAAUUCACUGAAAAUCGAGAACAUAUCCGAAAUUUCUGAGCAUUUUUCAGUCAUCGAGAGCCUCUUCCAAGCGAUCAAUACAAGUGAAACUGGAGAAAUCAAUUAUCGGAGUCUGAUUGAACAAACGAGAUCAAAGAGAAAAUGUGCUGCACCGGAUCCAAUUUAUUUGGCAUUUGCAUUUUACACGACUCUCACUCUUUUCUAUCCAG